UGCAGACGUGUGUGCGUGUGAGUGGCGAUCGAGANGGUUGUGCUGUUUGGCUCCUUGCUCGUUGGUUUUGGAACUUCCAGCACGCAACCCUUUCUCAUGCAUGCCUUGCUCCGGUGGGCCUCGGUGUUCACUUGUGGUUCCUGUGUUGACUACCCAUUUACGGCAUUCUUGUGCUGCGAAGAUCGGUUCCUUCCACACCCCCUCGUGGAGGCUGAUGGGGGAUUUCUAAUUUGAUGCGUGUUUUGCGUUUGUUGUGCGUUGUAAUGGCUCACGUGGCCACACGUGUCUAUUGUUCCCUUGGAUGCGGUGCAUGCGGUGAAUGUGGGCUGGUGUUUGUGCCCCGUUUAGUCCCCUAUGAUGUAUCGGUUGCCUUUCAAAGACACUUUGCCGUAGUGCCGGUCUUGUUAUCCCAUUGGCGGUGGCAACACUUGCACAUC
RNAcentral lists this unclassified non-coding RNA (437 nucleotides) under Crotalaria claussenii. RNAcentral's name for it is "partial external transcribed spacer". Lineage: Eukaryota; Viridiplantae; Streptophyta; Magnoliopsida; Fabales; Fabaceae. The record is from RNAcentral.